RNAcentral lists this ribosomal RNA (56 nucleotides) under uncultured Thelephoraceae. RNAcentral describes it as "partial 28S ribosomal RNA". Lineage: Eukaryota; Fungi; Basidiomycota; Agaricomycetes; Thelephorales; Thelephoraceae. The record is from RNAcentral.
AUCUCAAAUCAGGUAGGACUACCCGCUGAACUUAAGCAUAUCAUUUAAGCGGAGGA